Molecule: ribosomal RNA, 445 nt
Filed under: uncultured bacterium
Lineage: Bacteria
Description: partial 16S ribosomal RNA
Rfam family: Bacterial small subunit ribosomal RNA
Source: RNAcentral
GUAAGGAAUAUUGGUCAAUGGAGGCAACUCUGAACCAGCCAUGCCGCGUGCAGGAAGACGGCCCUCUGGGUUGUAAACUGCUUUUAUCUGGGAAUAAACCUACCUUCGUGAAGGUAGCUGAAUGUACCAGAAGAAUAAGGAUCGGCUAACUCCGUGCCAGCAGCCGCGGUAAUACGGAGGAUCCAAGCGUUAUCCGGAUUUAUUGGGUUUAAAGGGUGCGUAGGCGGCCUGUUAAGUCAGGGGUGAAAGACGGUGGCUCAACCAUCGCAGUGCCCUUGAUACUGAUGGGCUUGAAUGGACUAGAGGUAGGCGGAAUGUGACAAGUAGCGGUGAAAUGCAUAGAUAUGUCACAGAACACCGAUUGCGAAGGCAGCUUACUAUGGUCUUAUUGACGCUGAGGCACGAAAGCGUGGGGAUCGAACAGGAUUAGAUACCCUGGUAGUCC